CUACAGUACAACUACUUUAUUAUUGACAACAUGCAUGCCAAAUUUUUAUGUCUCAGUAUAUCAAAUCAGGACUUUAAAGUGUUCAAACUAGAGGGCAUUCUUAAAUAGAACCUAUAUAGAAUUCAGUGGCAGAUCCAGAUUUUAUAAGUGGGCGCUGACUGCUAAGAGGGCGCGGCUCGCUCUGGUCAUGAUUCAGUGAUUCCCUAUAUAAUCAACCAAAUUUUUCUCAGAAAAGGGGGGCCCUGGCCCCCCUCUAAAUCCGCCUCUGGCAUUAAUAACAGGACAUGUGUGUCUUUAUAUAUAUUUGAUCUAGUCAAAAUUUUCUUGUUUGAAUAUAUUAACCUAAUUAUGAUCACUUAUGGGAGUGUGUUAGUGAAUGAAAUUACAUAAUGUCUCAGAUUUGACAAAUGUUAGUACAUAUAGCCUUUGUCCAAUCUAGUCUCUUAUCUGCUGAACCAAAAAUGACUGAUAAGUUCCUUAAGCUGUUUUGAACAGCCAAUCAUCCAAGCACAUGUGUAAUGAUCAGAUCUACUUUUGCCUUUUUCAGACAAUUGUAUGUUUGACAUAGUUUUGCUACCAAACUUAAAAGAUAUUGUUAUAUAAUAUACAUUUGUGCUCUGCCAUAUUUACAUUUGUAUACUGAUCUCAGAUUGCACACACUCAUCCAAUGAAAUGAUCUGAUUUACCUCUUAAUACAUGUAGUCUUUUAUGACCAUAUAUAUUUGUUAUAUUUUCAAAGGAAAAUUUGAGGCAUUAUUAUAAACUUCAUGUGAAAUAGUUAUACAUGAUGCAUCUCUUAUACCACAAUGGUAAUGUCACUCCUUGUUCAUCAAGUAUUUAUUAUUCAGGUGAAAUAAUAAAUCCACAUCUUUACUUCAAAAAAUCCUCAUUUAAUAUUUUUACAAGAUACAGAAUCUCACCUUUUUAUGAUAAUUUUAUCUUGAGUUUUUAUUAACUUUUACAUAUGUAUGCAACUUAAUUCUCACAUAUUAUGCAACUUUUCAUUUCAUUUUAUCUCUAAAUAUUAACUUUUCAAUAUAAAGGUAUUAAAAAUGGAAGGAGUUUGCAUAAAACUUGAUAAUGCAUUGCCAAAGUCUUGGUAGAUAUUAUGUUACCAUAUUUUUUGUCAUUUGUAAAAUUGAAUAUCAUGUUAUUUAUGUUUAUUGAAUCAUGACUGCCAUGAAGGAACAAAAGUAUUUAACACACAUUACAAUGUAUUUUCUCAAAUCUAGUGCUAUUUGUGUUUAAUAUUCUAUUGUUUAAAAAAAAAUGUGAUUAUUUAGUUUAGAAGUUGUUAAUACUUAACAUGGUGGAUAGGAAUAUUGAAACUAAAUAUGAUGAGAUGGAUUUAACCUGUGUUUCUGUGUUUCUGUUGUAUCAAUAGAUAAACCUUGAUAGAAUGAAAUUCAAAACAGUGUGGCUGUGGCCAUUGAUUGACACAUUAAAUUC
RNAcentral lists this long non-coding RNA (1449 nucleotides) under Mytilus galloprovincialis (Mediterranean mussel). The record is from RNAcentral. Lineage: Eukaryota; Metazoa; Mollusca; Bivalvia; Mytilida; Mytilidae.